GGCCCCGUAGUCUAACGGUAGGGCGACUGGCUUACAUCCAGUUAGUGGGGGUUCAACUCCCUCCGGGGCUACCA
Molecule: transfer RNA, 74 nt
Filed under: marine sediment metagenome
Description: tRNA-Val
Rfam family: tRNA
About the family: Transfer RNA (tRNA) molecules are approximately 80 nucleotides in length. Their secondary structure includes four short double-helical elements and three loops (D, anti-codon, and T loops). Further hydrogen bonds mediate the characteristic L-shaped molecular structure. tRNAs have two regions of fundamental functional importance: the anti-codon, which is responsible for specific mRNA codon recognition, and the 3' end, to which the tRNAs corresponding amino acid is attached (by aminoacyl-tRNA synthetases). tRNAs cope with the degeneracy of the genetic code in two manners: having more than one tRNA (with a specific anti-codon) for a particular amino acid; and 'wobble' base-pairing, i.e. permitting non-standard base-pairing at the 3rd anti-codon position.
Source: RNAcentral